RNAcentral lists this long non-coding RNA (387 nucleotides) under Rattus norvegicus (Norway rat). RNAcentral describes it as "long non-coding RNA NONRATT023472". The record is from RNAcentral. Lineage: Eukaryota; Metazoa; Chordata; Mammalia; Rodentia; Muridae.
UUCAGCAAGGCUCUGUUCAGUUGUUCUUAUCUACAUCCUAGAAUCAGGGGUUUCAGCUCACUGCGCCUUUUCUUCCUCUCUCUCUUUUUUCCCCCUCUUUCUUUCCCACCCCACCCCCUCCCAAUAAUAGAUUUACUUUACAAUCAUCCACACUGUGUUCUGUGGAUCUGUAAUAUAUAUAACAAUAGUAGUCAUUUUCAAAUUAUAUCCUGAAACCUUUGCAAAUUUUAAGAGAAGAGUCGAAGCGCUGCGAGACCCAAUAUUUGCCAAUAAGAAUGGUUAUGAUAAUUAGCACCAUGGAGCCUCAGGUGUCAAAUGGACCGACAUCCAAUACAAGCAAUGGACCCUCCAGCAACAACAGAAACUGUCCUUCUCCCAUGCAGACAG